AUAUGAAUCUCCAGAGAGUUUAUUAAAAUGCAGAUUCUGAAUCAGGAGGCUAAGAGCCUACGUUUCUCACAAAAUUUCUAGGUGAUGUUAGU
RNAcentral lists this microRNA precursor (92 nucleotides) under Marmota monax (woodchuck). The record is from RNAcentral. Lineage: Eukaryota; Metazoa; Chordata; Mammalia; Rodentia; Sciuridae.